This 1505-nucleotide ribosomal RNA is filed under the name uncultured bacterium. RNAcentral's name for it is "bacterial SSU rRNA". It matches the Rfam family "Bacterial small subunit ribosomal RNA". The record is from RNAcentral.
GGGUUUGAUCCUGGCUCAGAACGAACGCUGGCGGCGUGCUUAACACAUGCAAGUCGAACGAGAAAGUUCUCUUCGGAGGAUGAGUAGAGUGGCGCACGGGUGAGUAACACGUGGAUAAUCUGUCUUCGGGUACGGGAUAACCAAUCGAAAGGCUGGCUAAUACCGUAUGAAGUUUUUGGCUCUUGGGUAAAAAAUGAAAAGGUGCCUCUGAUACAAGCAUCUGCCUGAAGGUGAGUCCGCGUACCAUUAGCUAGCUGGUGGGGUAAGAGCCUACCAGGGCGACGAUGGAUAGCUGGUCUGAGAGGAUGAUCAGCCACACUGGAACUGAAACACGGUCCAGACUCCUACGGGAGGCAGCAGUGAGGGAUUUUGCGCAAUGGGGGAAACCCUGACGCAGCAACGCCGCGUGAGUGAAGAAGGCCUUUGGGUCGUAAAGCUCUGUCAACAGGGAAGAAGUUAUCAUGUACGAAGAGUGUGUGGUAUUGACGGUACCUGUGGAGGAAGCACCGGCUAACUCCGUGCCAGCAGCCGCGGUAACACGGGGGGUGCAAGCGUUAUUCGGAAUUAUUGGGCGUAAAGGGCGCGCAGGCGGUCUUGCCAGUCAGAUGUGAAAGCCCGGGGCUCAACCCCGGAGGUGCAUUUGAAACAGCAAGACUUGAGUACAGGAGAGGAAAGCGGAAUUCCUGGUGUAGAGGUGAAAUUCGUAGAUAUCAGGAGGAACACUUAUGGCGAAGGCAGCUUUCUGGACUGAUACUGACGCUGAGGCGCGAAGGUGUGGGUAGCGAACAGGAUUAGAUACCCUGGUAGUCCACGCCGUAAACGUUGAUCACUCGUUGUUGGCAAUAUAUCGUCAGCGACUCAGCAAAAGCUUUAAGUGAUCCACCUGGGGAGUACGAUCGCAAGGUUGAAACUCAAAGGAAUUGACGGGGGCCCGCACAAGCGGAGGAGCAUGUGGUUUAAUUCGAUGAUACGCGAGGAACCUUACCCGGGCUUAAAUGUAGGUUGCAUUUCCGUGAAAACGGAAUUUCCUUCGGGACCGCCUACAAGGUGCUGCAUGGUUGUCGUCAGCUCGUGCCGUGAGGUGUCGGGUUAAGUCCCAUAACGAGCGCAACCCCUAUCUUUAGUUGCCAGUCCCGGCCUAGUCCGGGAGGGACUCUAAAGAAACUGCCCGCGCAAGCGGUGAGGAAGGUGGGGAUGACGUCAAAUCAGCACGGCCCUUAUGUCCGGGGCUACACACGUGCUACAAUGGCCGGUACAGUGGGCAGCUUAUGCGCGAGCAUUUGCUAAUCCCUAAAACCGGUCUCAGUCCGGAUUGGAGUCUGCAACCCGACUCCAUGAAGCUGGAUUCGCUAGUAAUCGCAUAUCAGCCAUGGUGCGGUGAAUACGUUCCCGGGCCUUGUACACACCGCCCGUCAAGCCAUGGAAGCUGGGGGUACCUGAAGUCCGUAACCGUUAAGGAGCGGCCUAGGGUAAAACCGGUGACUGGGGCUAAGUCGUAACAAGGU